GUUCAUUGUUGGGGCUUACUUUAGAAACCUUGGUUGUGGCUGCAAACAUCUGGGUUUAUCCUAUCUAGAGAUCACGUCCUCUCAGCCUACCAAAAUUGAACGUCUCAGGAAAUCAACUUAGAGCAUUGACAGCCAUUGACGAAAUGAACGGUGUCUGAUUCGCUAACACCGGACUCACCGAGGUCCUCUUUAAGUUUUCUUACAAGUCCGCAACAACAGGAGCCUUAGUUUCUUUUGGACUUCGAGGGGGAGGGAAGCGACAGGAACUGAGCUGUGCUUCAUCUUACUCCCUCGCGUGCUAUAUUCUAUAUUUACUCGCUUUUGCAUAUGUACACGUUUUAUCCUUAUACCUUUCAAUAAAAAAUAUUUGUAAUUUUGUUUUUAUGUUUUCAUUUCAAUUUUAAAAGAAGUGCAUUACAAUUUAUAAUAAAAAAAAGAAAAAAAUUAACAUUAUUAAAAAAUAAAAAAUGGGACGUGAUUGUUACUCGCAGUUGCACGAGUAUAGAAGAGCGCGUGGCAACAGAUCCCAACUUUUAACUGUCACACUGCACUUGUAUUCGCUACUGUUUUCAUUUUCAUUGGAUGGUCUGAAACCGAUACGGUUGCGACUCCGAAGAUAAGAUCGGAAUCGGAGCCGGACACACCCACCGCCUAGCCAUGACCUCCCCCACUCUCUCUCUUCCUCCUCACUCUCUCUUGUUUCUAGGAAACGGCACCGUCCCUGCUCUCCUCAGUUCUCUCUGUGUCAACUCGCUCAUUUCAACUCAUUCAACUCCUCUCCGAGUCAAGGCUUCUUCCGUCGAGCCACCGCCUUCCCCAGGUCUCUCUUUUUCUUUCUCUUUGUCUAUCUAUUUGUGUAUAUCUAGCUGGAGAAUAACAUAGAGUGGGUAAUUAUACUUAUUUACAAGAUAGAAUUUAGAUUUCCUCAUUUUCAAGGCAUGUUAAUUUGGUUUGAAAAUAAGCUAUUUUUCUUAUGCUUUUAUUAUAUAUUUAGUCCUUUGCUUUUCAUAGGUGCCAAAUUGCAAUUUUUUUUUUAUUGAUUGUAUAUGUGGUGCUGAUUGAACCCUUUUUGACAAAUUAACAUGGGUUUAAUUUGGUUAGAAGUGAACCAUUUCUGUGAUGUGGUGAUUAGGUUAUAUGUAUUUAGCUUUUGAUUUAUGUUGUUUCAGGUUUGUUCAUUGGACAUUUGCUGCAUUUUCUAGGCAUCUAGUGUUGAUGCAUUGUAUUUAAACGGUCAAAAUUCUGAAGAUUAGACUAAUCUGUUCUCUAAUUCUUUAUUUUUAGCGCUAUCUUUUGCUUUGGAAGGGAUUGAACAAUUGAUUCUGUAUGUAUAUACGAUGACAUGGAAUGAAAAUUUGAGCCAAAGGUGUUGAGAAUGUGGUAAUUAUAGGUUCAGGUCCUGCUGGAUAUACAGCUGCCAUAUAUGCUGCUCGUGCCAAUUUGAAACCUGUAGUGUUUGAGGGGUAUCAAAUGGGUGGUGUGCCUGGUGGACAGCUGAUGACUACCACUGAAGUAGAGAAUUUUCCAGGGUUUCCAGAAGGAAUAACUGGUCCAUAUUUGAUGGAUAGGGAAUAGAAAUAAUGGAUCAGCUUUCCUUUCAGUUACAUAUAUAUAUAUUUUUUUGUAAUGUUGAAUUCUUG
RNAcentral lists this unclassified non-coding RNA (1640 nucleotides) under Hevea brasiliensis (rubber tree). Lineage: Eukaryota; Viridiplantae; Streptophyta; Magnoliopsida; Malpighiales; Euphorbiaceae. The record is from RNAcentral.